This 224-nucleotide ribosomal RNA is filed under the name uncultured bacterium. RNAcentral's name for it is "partial 16S ribosomal RNA". It matches the Rfam family "Bacterial small subunit ribosomal RNA", at positions 28 to 253 of the family's 1533-position model. The record is from RNAcentral.
GACGAACGCUGGCGGCGUGCUUAACACAUGCAAGUCGAGCGGUAAGGCUCCCUCGGGAGUACACGAGCGGCGAACGGGUGAGUAACACGUGAGCAAUCUACCCUUCACUUUGGAAUAACUUUCGGAACGGAAGCUAUACCAAACUACGACCACCGAAGGCGAUCCUUGGUGGUGGAAAGUUACCGGCGGUGGAGGAUGAGCUCGCGGCCUAUCAGCUUGUUGGU